Molecule: ribosomal RNA, 2928 nt
Filed under: Candidatus Woesearchaeota archaeon
Lineage: Archaea; Nanobdellati; Candidatus Woesearchaeota
Description: 23S ribosomal RNA
Rfam family: Archaeal large subunit ribosomal RNA
Source: RNAcentral
GGCGAGAAAAACGAAAGCUGCCAGGUGGAUGACUUGGCUCACGAGCCGACGAAGGACGCGACAAGCUGCGAUAAGCCCCGGGGAUCCGCACGUGGGAAUUGAUCCGGGGAUUUCCUAAUAGGACGUCCAGCCCCUUCGGGGGCGCUCCGUGAGGAGCGGGAACGCAGGGAAUUGAAACAUCUGAGUACCUGCAGGAAAAGAAACCAACAGGGAUGCCGUCAGUAACAGCGAGUGAAGGCGGCACAGGGCAAACUGAAUCCCUCGCCGAAAGGCGAUGGAGAUGUGGUGUUGCCGGGCCUCCCAUCAGCGCCGCUGCUUGGAAACUCGAAGUCCCCUGGAAAGGGGCGCGAUACAGGGUGAGAGCCCCGUAGAGGUAACUGAGCGUGGCGUGGGAGAGUCCCAGAGUACCGCACAUCGGGUAUUGUGCGGGAAGCCGGGGGACAACAACCCCCAACCCUAAACACUACGUGAGUCCGAUAGCGCAUAGUACUGUGGAGGAACGUUGAAAAGCAUCCUUACCGGGAAGUGCAAAGACCCUGAAGCCUGGCAGCCAUGGAUUGUCGCGGCGCUUCGGUGUUGCGACGUCCGUUUUGAAUAACGUGCCAGGGAGUGUAUUUCUGUGGCGAGGAUAACCCCACAAGGGGCAUCCGCAGGGAAACCGACAAGCCCGCAGCUUGCGAGGGGCGGGGUGUGAAAGCGCCCGGAGUCACAGGGAUACGACCCGAAGCCGGACGAUCUAUCCCACGGCAUGGUGAAGCGGGGGUAAAACCUCGUGGAGGCCAGAAGAGGUCUUGGGUACAACCACUCUCUUGACCGGGGGAUAGGGGUAAAAUGCUAAUCGAGUCCGGCGAUAGCUGGUUCCUGCCGAAAUGGGCCGCAGUCCAGCCUCGGCGGAGAUGGCCUGGGCGGUAGAGCUACGGAUAGGGAGCUUAGGGUGAGAAAUCGCUCGGCUCUCUGUCCAACUCCAAACGCCCAGGCGUCGUAGAUGCCGAGGAACGGGAGUACUUGGGGUAAACUUGUACUCCGAGAGGGGAACAACCCUGACCAAAGUUAAGGUCCCUAAUGCCGUCUCAGUGUUAAAGGGAGAAGAGUGUCCGCAUCCUAAGACAGCAAGGAGGUUGGCUUAGAAGCAGCAAUCCUUCAAAAAGUGCGUAACAGCUUACUUGUCAAGGAUACGGGCCUUGAAAAUGGACGGGGCUAAGGCGGCUACCGAGACUUUGGACGCUCGAAAGAGUUGUGGUAGGCAGGCGCGCUGGCAGGGCAGAAGCUUUCCCGUAAGGGGAAGUGGACCUGACAGCGACGAGAAUCCUGGCGGUAGUAGGAUCUGAGCACGGUGAGACUCCGUGUCAUCGUAAGGGCAAGGGUUCCUCUGACAAUGCAAAUCAGUCGAGGGUUAGUUGGUCCUAACCGCAUUCCUAACAGGUCGUGCGGGAACGGGAAACCGGUUAAUAUUCCGGUACUCUCCCGGUAUACGGCAACGAAAGGCUGGCCACCAACGCAUCCGGAUAGGUGCGCCCGGGCCGUCGCCCGGGUCAAAUGCGGCACAUCCGUGGAGUAUCAUAAUGAUGAGAAGCGGAUGAACUGCAUGACGAGCCUCCGCAAGGGGGUCGCGCUGAUGCCUGGUGCCCGUGAAAAGGGGGCCGGCAGAGAUCCGGGAGAACCAUACCCAGCACCAGCACAGGUGCCCCUAGGUGAAAAGCCUCAGAUGUGAAGGCAGAAUCCGGGUUAGGGAAAUCGGCAAAUUAGCCCUGUAGCUUCGGCUUAAGGGGUCCCUGCGCUCGUGUCCGCAUGGGCGCGAGUACAGGGCGCAGUGACAAGGCGGGUCCGACUGUUUAACAAAAACAUAGCCUUGUGCUAUCCCGCAAGGGUUUGUAUACAAGGUGAGGUCUGCCCACUGCCCGCACUUCAAACUCCUUUCCAAGGGAGCUAAGAACGGGUAAAGGGCGGGAGUAACUAUAACUCUCUUAAGGUAGCGAAAUACCUUGUCGUUUGAAUGACGACGUGCAUGAAUGGCUUAACGAGAUCCGCGCUGUCCCGACCUGGACGCCUCCGAACACACUUUUCUGGUGUGAAGGCCAGAGAUCUCCAGUGGGAAGUGAAGACCCCGUGAAACUUUACUGCAACCUGUUGCGGCGACGUGGGUUGUGCUGUGUAGCGUAGGUGGGAGUUGCUGAAGCGUGAUCGUCAGAUUGCGCCUAGACGCCGAUGAAACACCACUCUGCAUGGUCUAUGCCGCUCACCCGUGGCGAAGAGCUGCGGGGACAACGACAGGCGGACAGUUUGGCUGGGGUGGCACGCCGCUGAAAAGGUAUCAGUGGCGCCCAAAGGUUGACUCACGCGGGUCAGAAAUCCGCGGUGGAGUGCAAGGGCAUAAGUCAGCCUGACUGGGUCGCACACAUGAAGCGACCCAGGGCGGAAACGCGGGCCUAGCGAACCUCUAUGUCCUCUUUGCUGGGGGCUAGAGAUGACCGAAAAGUUACUCCGGGGAUAACAGAGUCGUCUCGCCCGAGAGUUCACAUCGACGGCGAGGCUUGCUACAUCGAUGUCGGCUCUUCCUAUCCUGGCCGUGCAGAAGCGGCCAAGGGUGGGGGUGUUCACCCAUUAAAAGGGAUCGCGAGCUGGGUUCAGAACGCUGUGAGGCAGUUUGUUUAAUAUCUACUGGAGAUGUUGGAUGUCUGAGGGGAAGGGUCCUUUAGUACGAGAGGAACAAGGGCUCGGCGCCUCUGGUCGACCAGUUGUCCGACAGGGCAGGCUGGGCAGCUACGCGCUAAGGGAUAAGAGCUGAACGCAUCUAAGCUCGAAACCCGCCUCGAAAAGAGACAUCCUAGGACACCCGUAGAACACGGGUUUAAUGGGAGCGGGGUGUACGCACGAAGCCUCGGCGACGUGUUCAGCCCGCGCUUCCCAACAGUCCGUAUCUUUCUCGCC